RNAcentral lists this ribosomal RNA (598 nucleotides) under uncultured Stenotrophomonas sp. Its description in RNAcentral is "bacterial SSU rRNA". It matches the Rfam family "Bacterial small subunit ribosomal RNA", at positions 898 to 1494 of the family's 1533-position model. The record is from RNAcentral. Lineage: Bacteria; Pseudomonadati; Pseudomonadota; Gammaproteobacteria; Lysobacterales; Lysobacteraceae.
AACUCAAAGGAAUUGACGGGGGCCCGCACAAGCGGUGGAGUAUGUGGUUUAAUUCGAUGCAACGCGAAGAACCUUACCUGGCCUUGACAUGUCGAGAACUUUCCAGAGAUGGAUUGGUGCCUUCGGGAACUCGAACACAGGUGCUGCAUGGCUGUCAUCAGCUCGUGUCGUGAGAAGUUGGGUUAAGUCCCGCAACGAGCGCAACCCUUGUCCUUAGUUGCCAGCACGUAAUGGUGGGAACUCUAAGGAGACCGCCGGUGACAAACCGGAGGAAGGUGGGGAUGGCGUCAAGUCAUCAUGGCCCUUACGGCCAGGGCUACACACGUACUACAAUGGUAGGGACAGAGGGCUGCAAGCCGGCGACGGUAAGCCAAUCCCAGAAACCCUAUCUCAGUCCGGAUUGGAGUCUGCAACUCGACUCCAUGAAGUCGGAAUCGCUAGUAAUCGCAGAUCAGCAUUGCUGCGGUGAAUACGUUCCCGGGCCUUGUACACACCGCCCGUCACACCAUGGGAGUUUGUUGCACCAGAAGCAGGUAGCUUAACCUUCGGGAGGGCGCUUGCCACGGUGUGGCCGAUGACUGGGGUGAAGUCGUAACAA